AUUGAACGCUGGCGGCAUGCUUUACACAUGCAAGUCGAACGGUAACAGCACUUCGGUGGCUGACGAGUGGCGAACGGGUGAGUAAUACAUCGGAACGUGCCUAGUAGUGGGGGAUAACUACUCGAAAGAGUAGCUAAUACCGCAUGAGAUCUAAGGAUGAAAGCAGGGGACCUUCGGGCCUUGCGCUACUAGAGCGGCUGAUGGCAGAUUAGGUAGUUGGUGGGAUAAAAGCUUACCAAGCCGACGAUCUGUAGCUGGCCUGAGAGGACGACCAGCCACACUGGGACUGAGACACGGCCCAGACUCCUACGGGAGGCAGCAGUGGGGAAUUUUGGACAAUGGGCGCAAGCCUGAUCCAGCAAUGCCGCGUGCAGGAUGAAGGCCUUCGGGUUGUAAACUGCUUUUGUACGGAACGAAAAGCCCUCUUCUAAUACAGGAGGGUCAUGACGGUACCGUAAGAAUAAGCACCGGCUAACUACGUG
This 482-nucleotide ribosomal RNA is filed under the name uncultured bacterium. RNAcentral describes it as "partial 16S ribosomal RNA". It matches the Rfam family "Bacterial small subunit ribosomal RNA", at positions 30 to 507 of the family's 1533-position model. The record is from RNAcentral.